CAGCCGCCGCGGUAAUACGUAGGGUGCAAGCGUUAAUCGGAAUUACUGGGCGUAAAGCGUGCGCUGGCGGUUAUAUAAGUCAGAUGUGAAAUCCCCGGGCUCAACCUGGGAACUGCAUUUGAGACUGUAUGGCUAGAGUGUGUCAGAGGGGGGUAGAAUUCCACGUGUAGCAGUGAAAUGCGUAGAUAUGUGGAGGAAUACCGAUGGCGAAGGCAGCCCCUUGGGAUAACACUGACGCUCAUGCACGAAAGCGUGGGGAGCAAACAGGAUUAGAUACCCGCGUAGUCCCUGUCUCUUAUAC
This 301-nucleotide ribosomal RNA is filed under the name uncultured bacterium. Its description in RNAcentral is "partial 16S ribosomal RNA". It matches the Rfam family "Bacterial small subunit ribosomal RNA", at positions 509 to 807 of the family's 1533-position model. The record is from RNAcentral.